GAGGUUGAUCAUGGCUCAGAUUGAACGCUGGCGGCAGGCCUAACACAUGCAAGUCGAACGGUAACAGGAAACAGCUUGCUGUUUCGCUGACGAGUGGCGGACGGGUGAGUAAUGUCUGGGAAACUGCCUGAUGGAGGGGGAUAACUACUGGAAACGGUAGCUAAUACCGCAUAACGUCGCAAGACCAAAGAGGGGGACCCUCGGGCCUCUUGCCAUCGGAUGUGCCCAGAUGGGAUUAGCUUGUAGGUGGGGUAACGGCUCACCAAGGCGACGAUCCCUAGCUGGUCUGAGAGGAUGACCAGCCACACUGGAACUGAGACACGGUCCAGGCUCCUACGGGAGGCAGCAGUGGGGAAUAUUGCACAAUGGGCGCAAGCCUGAUGCAGCCAUGCCGCGUGUAUGAAGAAGGCCUUCGGGUUGUAAAGUACUUUCAGCGGGGAGGAAGGGAGUAAAGUUAAUACCUUUGCUCAUUGACGUUACCCGCAGAGAAGCACCGGCUAACUCCGUGCCAGCAGCCGCGGUAAUACGGAGGGUGCAAGCGUUAAUCGGAAUUACUGGGCGUAAAGCGCACGCAGGCGGUUUGUUAAGUCAGAUGUGAAAUCCCCGGGCUCAACCUGGGAACUGCAUCUGAUACUGGCAAGCUUGAGUCUCGUAGAGGGGGGUAGAAUUCCAGGUGUAGCGGUGAGAUGCGUAGAGAUCUGGAGGAAUACCGGUGGCGAAGGCGGCCCCCUGGACGAAGACUGACGCUCAGGUGCGAAAGCGUGGGGAGCAAACAGGAUUAGAUACCCUGGUAGUCCACGCCGUAAACGAUGUCGACUUGGAGGUUGUGCCCUUGAGGCGUGGCUUCCGGAGCUAACGCGUUAAGUCGACCGCCUGGGGAGUACGGCCGCAAGGUUAAAACUCAAAUGAAUUGACGGGGGCCCGCACAAGCGGUGGAGCAUGUGGUUUAAUUCGAUGCAACGCGAAGAACCUUACCUGGUCUUGACAUCCACGGAAGUUUUCAGAGAUGAGAAUGUGCCUUCGGGAACCGUGAGACAGGUGCUGCAUGGCUGUCGUCAGCACGUGUUGUAAAAUGUUGGGUUAAGUCCCGCAACGAGCGCAACCCUUAUCCUUUGUUGCCAGCGGUCCGGCCGGGAACUCAAAGGAGACUGCCAGUGAUAAACUGGAGGAAGGUGGGGAUGACGUCAAGUCAUCAUGGCCCUUACGACCAGGGCUACACACGUGCUACAAUGGCGCAUACAAAGAGAAGCGACCUCGCGAGAGCAAGCGGACCUCAUAAAGUGCGUCGUAGUCCGGAUUGGAGUCUGCAACUCGACUCCAUGAAGUCGGAAUCGCUAGUAAUCGUGGAUCAGAAUGCCACGGUGAAUACGUUCCCGGGCCUUGUACACACCGCCCGUCACACCAUGGGAGUGGGUUGCAAAAGAAGUAGGUAGCUUAACCUUCGGGAGGGCGCUUACCACUUUGUGAUUCAUGACUGGGGUGAAGUCGGAACAAGGUA
RNAcentral lists this ribosomal RNA (1498 nucleotides) under metagenome. Its description in RNAcentral is "bacterial SSU rRNA". It matches the Rfam family "Bacterial small subunit ribosomal RNA". The record is from RNAcentral.